Molecule: ribosomal RNA, 435 nt
Filed under: uncultured bacterium
Lineage: Bacteria
Description: partial 16S ribosomal RNA
Rfam family: Bacterial small subunit ribosomal RNA
Source: RNAcentral
AGCGAACGCUGGCGGCAGGCUUAACACAUGCAAGUCGAGCGGGCACUUUCGGGUGUCAGCGGCGGACGGGUGAGUAACGCGUGGGAACGUGCCCUCUGGUUCGGAAUAACUCAGGGAAACUUGAGCUAAUACCGGAUACGCCCUUUUGGGCAAAGGCUUUCUGCCGGAGGAUCGGCCCGCGUCUGAUUAGCUAGUUGGUGAGGUAACGGCUCACCAAGGGGACGAUCAGUAGAUGGUCUGAGAGGAUGAUCAGACACACUGGGACUGAGACACGGCCCCGACUCCUACGGGAAGGAGCAGUGGGGAAUAUUGGACAAUGGGCGCAAGCAUGAACCAGCCAUGCCGCGUGAGUGAUGAAGGCCUUAGGGUUGUAAAGCUCUUUUAUCCGGGACGAUAAUGACGGUACCGGAGGAAUAAGCCCCGGCUAACUUCGUG